AACGAACGCUGGCGGCAUGCCUAACACAUGCAAGUCGAACGAGACCUUCGGGUCUAGUGGCGCACGGGUGCGUAACGCGUGGGAAUCUGCCCUUGGGUUCGGAAUAACAGUUGGAAACGACUGCUAAUACCGGAUGAUGACGUAAGUCCAAAGAUUUAUCGCCCAGGGAUGAGCCCGCGUAGGAUUAGCUAGUUGGUGGGGUAAAGGCCUACCAAGGCGACGAUCCUUAGCUGGUCUGAGAGGAUGAUCAGCCACACUGGGACUGAGACACGGCCCAGACUCCUACGGGAGGCAGCAGUGGGGAAUAUUGGACAAUGGGCGAAAGCCUGAUCCAGCAAUGCAGCGUGAGUGAUGAAGGCCUUAGGGUUGUAAAACUCUUUUACCCGGGAUGAUAAUGACAGUACCGGGAGAAUAAGCCCCGGCUAACUCCGUG
This 433-nucleotide ribosomal RNA is filed under the name uncultured bacterium. RNAcentral's name for it is "partial 16S ribosomal RNA". It matches the Rfam family "Bacterial small subunit ribosomal RNA", at positions 29 to 507 of the family's 1533-position model. The record is from RNAcentral.